AUAAAAAAAUCUAAGGAGAAGACUAUGAGAGUGCUUAUUCUAUACCGACAUGUUGGAUCACAUGAUUUUGUACAUAAUGAUAACUCAAUUUCUCAACAAGGUAUUAAAAUAAAGUUUCUUAAGAAUUGGUAUUGUAUCAUGAAAUGACUUGACUUUAAUUCUAUAAAUUAAUAGUUUUGGUAUAUUGAAUAACUAGGCUCCAUGACAGGUCCAUACCGAGAAGGGGGGCAUAAGUAUAUGCCAUGUUUUGAUUCAUUUGAUUCCACUAAACAUAUGUACGUGAUUUUUUCUUAUAUUCCUUUGUUUUAGAUGUCUAGUUAUGUUCUUUUUUUUUUUGGAAAAAAGAAUUAGUGUGAUAUUUGAAAACAUUUAUUGUAAUAUGUAGAUGUGUAUACUUCAUGAUCAUGCAAUUGUUACCAUUGUUGUGCAGGAAGUAAAUAAGGCAAGACUUGUCGACGUGUUUGUGUUGUAGUCUGUAGUGCAGGUGGUGAGUUGCUUGUCGAUGGUCACCUAUGGUUUUCCUUGUACAAAGUUAUUGGUUUCGGUUGGUAGCUUAAUUAUAAUGAUGUUGAUGCAUCCAUUUGUUUUAGCUCCUGCUGCUGGUGUUGCUCUGGUUUUUCUCUAGUGCCUCCAAGUCCGGCUAAUGUGUUCUUGUUCGUUGAUCUAUUUUCUGCAAGCCUGAAGAGUUUUAGUGUAUAAGUGUUUGGUUUUGCUUUUGGAAUUUUAGUAUUUCUUUAUAGAGAAGUUUAGUUUGUAUUUUGUUUCAUGGUUUUUUAGUUGUACUUAGCAUAAGUUGUAGGUGUGUAACUUUUGUCCCAAUUUUGGUCCGUCUUGAGUUUGGAUUAGUAUUAAUCAAAUUUAUUUUUCGAUAAAAACAGUCUCUAAAUUUGUAUGUUUAAGGAAUAAAUGAAAGAAAUGAAAAUGACCC
This 928-nucleotide long non-coding RNA is filed under the name Medicago truncatula (barrel medic). RNAcentral describes it as "long non-coding RNA (MTRU_LNC006943)". The record is from RNAcentral. Lineage: Eukaryota; Viridiplantae; Streptophyta; Magnoliopsida; Fabales; Fabaceae.